UUCGUAAAAUUGGUGUAAUUAAUCAAAAAUAUCAGUGAAAUAUAUGACUAGCUCAAUUUGACCAGCAAUUAAUGCAAAUUCAUAUUGCUUUCUACUGGUGAACCUAUCUGAUGACUAUAAAUUAAUAAAUAAAAUAAAAUUGGAAUAAAGGAAUAAAAUAUACAUAUAUCUAUAUUAUAUUUUAAUCUUUUAACAAACUAAACAAUCUAUUAUGAAAUUUAUUUUAUUUUAUUUCAAAUUCCAAUUGCAUUUAAUAGUACUAACUUUUAAUUCAAAUAUCUAUAACAAUAUUGAAUGAACAAAUACAAAUUGCUGUUUUGGUUAGUCACAGCAUAAUACAGUGAAACUUCUAAUUAACGGUCACCAAAGCGACCAUAAAUAAUGAUCGCUAUUUAGAGGUAGCCCCGUCCUAUAAAGGUGACAAUACAUGACAUAACACUUGAUGGGACCAAAAAACCUAACCGUUACAUAGAGGUGACCGUUAACAGAAGUUUUACUGUACACCUCACCUGAUAACUUAAUAAUUGCAUUCUGAUAAAAAAAAAAAAAAACAGUGCAGCAUCAAGACCAACUACUUCUAAAUUUGUAAAAAUUGAUGAUCACAUUAAUAGUUAAUUGUAUGUUUAAAUAAUUAGUUAAGUUAUUGGUACAUAACAUAAGUAGGGCUAUGGAGUUUUUAUUAACCUAAAUUGGCAAAUUAAAAUUUUUUUUACAUCUGAGUGUCAUUUUCAUGCAUUAUAUUAAAAGAUUUUUAUAUCAUAAAAUAUUAAUUAAAAAUUAACAUAAUUUCAAAAAUAAGUGUAAAAAUGAAUAAUUAUUUAAAACAUCCA
This is a long non-coding RNA of Rhopalosiphum padi (bird cherry-oat aphid), 830 nucleotides long. RefSeq lists it as uncharacterized. NCBI's taxonomy places the organism in Eukaryota, Metazoa, Arthropoda, Insecta, Hemiptera, Aphididae. The record is from RefSeq and is a predicted model, not a curated record. The transcript has 3 exons.